Molecule: ribosomal RNA, 253 nt
Filed under: uncultured bacterium
Lineage: Bacteria
Description: partial 16S ribosomal RNA
Rfam family: Bacterial small subunit ribosomal RNA
Source: RNAcentral
UACGAAGGGGGCUAGCGUUGUUCGGAAUUACUGGGCGUAAAGCGAGCGUAGGCGGUUGGCCAAGUCAGGCGUGAAAGCCUUGAGCUCAACUCAAGAAAUGCACUUGGUACUGGGUGGCUAGAGGACCGGAGAGGAUAGUGGAAUUCCCAGUGUAGUGGUGAAAUACGUAGAGAUUGGGAAGAACACCAGUGGCGAAGGCGGCUAUCUGGACGGUUACUGACGCUAAGACUCGAAAGCGUGGGGAGCAAACAGG